AUGGCUGUCGUCAGCUCGUGUCGUGAGAUGUUGGGUUAAGUCCCGCAACGAGCGCAACCCUCGUUCUAUGUUGCCAGCGAGUAAUGUCGGGGACUCAUAGGAGACUGCCGGGGUCAACUCGGAGGAAGGUGGGGAUGACGUCAAGUCAUCAUGCCCCUUAUGUCCAGGGCUGCACACAUGCUACAAUGGCCGGUACAAAGGGCUGCGAUACCGCAAGGUGGAGCGAAUCCCAGAAAGCCGGUCUCAGUUCGGAUUGGGGUCUGCAACUCGACCCCAUGAAAUCGGAGUCGCUAGUAAUCGCAGAUCAGCAACGCUGCGGUGAAUACGUUCCCGGGCCUUGUACACACCGCCCGUCACGUCACGAAAGUCGGUAACACCCGAAGCCGGUGGCCCAACCCUUGUGGAGGGAGCCGUCGAAGGUGGGAUCGGCGAUUGGGACGAAGUCGUAACAAGGUAGCCGUACCGGAAGGUGCGGCUGGAUCACCUCCUUUCUGGAUUCGGAGACAUUAACCAAAGACUUGGGCUUGCCCUGGUCGGACGGUUUGUCAUCCGGCUCAGAAUCAAGCGGCCAGUCAGGCCGCAUUUGCGGGACCGCGCCGCCUUCGUCUCUCUUUCUGAUCUAAGGAUAUGGAAGCUUGCGCCUUAUUUGCCCUUAUCGGUAUGGCGGCGUGGACUUCUUCUUCGACCGGGCUUGUAGCUCAGUUGGUUAGAGCGCGCGCUUGAUAAGCGUGAGGUCGGAGGUUCAAGUCCUCCCAGGCCCACCACAGCCUUUGGGCGCCGGCGGGUCUUGAACGGGGCCAUAGCUCAGUUGGGAGAGCGCGUGCUUUGCAAGCAUGAGGUCGUCGGUUCGAUCCCGUCUGGCUCCACCAAGUCUGGACCGCGAGGUGUUGACGACGUGUCGAGCAGAUUGAAGCGUUUCCUAUCCUUUCCGAUGCGAUUUAUCAGUUUCGUUGAGCGUGCGAGCGCUUGGCGUGACGAUGGCCGAAUGGCCGGCGACAAGGAUUAUGUCCUCCGCCGUUCCUUCCGGUCCUCGAUAUCUGACAUUGUGAAGAGGAAGCGCAUUCGGUCGAAGACCGGGUGGGGCGAGGCGUAAGCUGGACGGUCCGUGAGGAUCUGAAGGCCGGAAAAGCGUCGCGUCAUCAUCGUGUCUCUCGAGCAACCAGUCGUGGAUUUGGAGCCUGACCGCUCAGAUCCCCGGAUGCGUUUGAAGCAAAACUGGUCUUUUCAAGCCAAGACGUGCGGUGUCGAACGAUUUCCGAAAUCAAGUGACACACAAGACGCGCGCUUUGGCGAUGAGAGCAAUCAAGUGUCUUAAGGGUAUCUGGUGGAUGCCUUGGCGCUGAGAGGCGAUGAAGGACGUGGUACGCUGCGAUAAGUCAUGGGGAGCCGCGAACAGGCUUUGAUCCGUGAAUUUCCGAAUGGGGAAACCCGG
This 1432-nucleotide small RNA is filed under the name uncultured Frankia sp. RNAcentral describes it as "bacterial SSU rRNA". The stretch from base 1 to 491 matches the Rfam family "Bacterial small subunit ribosomal RNA", at positions 1045 to 1533 of the family's 1533-position model. Lineage: Bacteria; Bacillati; Actinomycetota; Actinomycetes; Frankiales; Frankiaceae. The record is from RNAcentral.